RNAcentral lists this ribosomal RNA (254 nucleotides) under uncultured bacterium. Its description in RNAcentral is "partial 16S ribosomal RNA". It matches the Rfam family "Bacterial small subunit ribosomal RNA", at positions 524 to 776 of the family's 1533-position model. The record is from RNAcentral.
UACAGAGGUCUCAAGCGUUGUUCGGAUUCAUUGGGCGUAAAGGGUGCGUAGGCGGCGCGGUAAGUCGGGUGUGAAAUCUCGGAGCUUAACUCCGAAACUGCAUUCGAUACUGCCGUGCUUGAGGACUGGAGAGGAGACUGGAAUUUACGGUGUAGCGGUGAAAUGCGUAGAUAUCGUAAGGAAGACCAGUGGCGAAAGCGGCUUCCUGGUCCAGCACCGACGUUCAGGCACGAAAGCGUGGGGGAGCAAACAGG